AUGAGGCCAAUGGUGGAAACUGAGGCAGAACUGGAGGUGCGGUCCUGGGCCGUGAGCACCUGCUCCGGGUCCAUCCUCCAGGAUGGGGCCCUGGGGAAGCGGGGGCCGAAGGUCAUCGGAUCUACAGGUUUGGUCUCAGUUUCUGGCCCAGCCGGGUCCCCACGUCGCCCACGCACCGGCCUGAAACAGCUCGCGGGGUGGAGCCCACAGCCCGGGGAGGCGCGCGCCGCGCCCUCGCACCCAGCCCGGCGCCUCUCCCCACCUCGUCCCGCCCCAGUCGCGCCGGGCCCGCGCGGCCCCUCCCGCCCGAGGUCUCACCCCUCUCCCCCCCCCCCCGCCCCUUCCAGGCAAGAAGUGCACCUACGGCGUCAAGUGCAAGUUCUUCCACCCCGAGAGGCCGCGCGCGGCGCCGCUGGCGGUGGCCGACGAGCUGCGCGCGCAGACGCGGGCUGGGCGGGGCGCGGGCGGCGAGGCGGGGCGGCGGCGGGGCGCGCGCGCGGCGGGCGGGGCGGGGCGGGGCGGGCCCCGGGGCGCUGCGGCCGAGCCGGGCGCGCGCAGCCUGCCCCCCCCGCGGCCCGCGCCCGACGCCGCGGCGCUCGGAGGCCGCUUCUCGCGGCUGAACCUCGGCGGCGACCCGGGGCUCGGCGCGGCGCCCCCCGCGGACGCCGGCCCCGCGCCCCGGCCGCCCGGGGGGCGCUGCCCCGGGGCCGCGCACGCCGACCUGCCGCCCCAGCGCCGGCGGGCGGCCGAGGCGCGCGCCCUCCCUCCGGAGGCCGGCGGGUUCGCGGGCCGCUCGGCCUGGGCGGAAGGCGGCUGGGGCGACGGCGCCUCCGGGGGGCCCGCGGGGGAGGCGCGCGCGCGGGCGCGCAGGGCGCUCUGCGGCCUCUUCCCGCCGCAGCAGGUGGACAGCGUCAUGGCCCUGUUCCCCGCGCUCUCCGACGUCGCCAGGCUCAUCCUGCUCAUCCAGAAAUUCCAGAGGUCGGGGGCGCCUGUGGGGAAGUCCUGAGAACUCGUCCUUGCCACCGCCAGGGAUGUCGCAGCCUCGCCUGGCCACUUGGGCCGGCGGCGGGUGGACGCCUGCACCUGGGGCACAGCCCCUGCACUGUGCACCCCCUUUCCCUUAAAGACGGUCGGGGGCCAGCUUCCUCAGCCUCAGCCUGCCCGUGGUGGCACCCGAUGACCCUCGCGGACACUGCGGGGCCUGCCGCUGCAGCUCCAGUCCUGCAGAGUAAGGCCGGCCCCUUCCAUGGACCGAGUGGUCUCUUCUGUCUGGAAGACCACUCGGCCCCUGACGGCCCCAAGGGUUUGUCCAGAACACUCCAUGGCUGUUUGGCAAGCCGCAACUGGGAUCCACGAGUGGGUCACAAGAUCAGUGUAAUGGGUCACGCCAGAAAGGGUGGCAGAGGAAAUCCCAGAGCCCACUCCGCGCCACCGAGCGAAGUAGGAGACUCCCGCGUGCUAGCUCCGUGGGUGUGCCCCGGUGUGCCCCGGGUGCCCUGGCCAGCCCUGCAAACUGAAUGCGGGUCACCGGCAAACGUUUGA
This 1542-nucleotide long non-coding RNA is filed under the name Canis lupus dingo (dingo). Its description in RNAcentral is "lncRNA (ENSCAFG00020013538.1)". The record is from RNAcentral. Lineage: Eukaryota; Metazoa; Chordata; Mammalia; Carnivora; Canidae.